Cuculus canorus (common cuckoo) is the source of this 137-nucleotide small nucleolar RNA. RefSeq annotates it as small nucleolar RNA SNORA5. The record is from RefSeq and is a predicted model, not a curated record. The transcript has a single exon. Lineage: Eukaryota; Metazoa; Chordata; Aves; Cuculiformes; Cuculidae.
UGCAGCUGCGUCAAAUUCAGUCCUCGCCCACCCGUGCUCGGGACUGGCCAAACAGCUGCCACAGCAACAUCCGUAACUCGUGAGCCCCACUGUCCUUCUCCCUCGGCUCUGGGGUGAAAGAAACGCUACGGACAGCG